GACGUAGGGGGCCAGCGUUGCUCGGAAUUACUGGGUGUAAAGGGUUCGUAGGCGGUUGGGUAAGUCGGGUGUGAAAACUCAGGGCUCAACUCUGAGACGCCACUCGAUACUGCUCUGACUCGAGUCCGGUAGGGGAGCGUGGAAUUCCCGGUGUAGCGGUGAAAUGCGCAGAUAUCGGGAGGAACACCAGUGGCGAAGGCGGCGCUCUGGGCCGGAACUGACGCUGAGGAGCGAAAGCGUGGGUAGCAAACAGG
Molecule: ribosomal RNA, 254 nt
Filed under: uncultured bacterium
Lineage: Bacteria
Description: partial 16S ribosomal RNA
Rfam family: Bacterial small subunit ribosomal RNA
Source: RNAcentral